Molecule: signal recognition particle RNA, 101 nt
Filed under: uncultured Alistipes sp.
Lineage: Bacteria; Pseudomonadati; Bacteroidota; Bacteroidia; Bacteroidales; Rikenellaceae
Description: Bacteroidales small SRP
Rfam family: Bacteroidales small SRP
About the family: The non-coding component of the signal recognition particle in Bacteroides
Source: RNAcentral
GCCCGGGUAAGUCUUAUACGACCAGCUCCUACAGAACCCCCCAGGUGAGGAAUCAAGCAAGGGUAUGUGGUUGUAGCGGUGCGAUAUAAGUAGCUUACCCU